This 868-nucleotide long non-coding RNA is filed under the name Triticum aestivum (bread wheat). Its description in RNAcentral is "long non-coding RNA (TAES_LNC001991)". The record is from RNAcentral. Lineage: Eukaryota; Viridiplantae; Streptophyta; Magnoliopsida; Poales; Poaceae.
AGUAAACUUUUCCAGUAUACUCCUAGGAGUAAACUUUCUGUGCUGGAGUAGGAAUUGCUCUCAGGAGUAGCAGUAGUGAUUUGUUUAACAGUAGCAACGACAGCAGUGCAUAUCAAUUUAUCAUGAUGACAACAGUAGUGCACACCAAUUUGGAACUGAUUUGUUGCUUCUCCCCUGCAUAUCAAUUUAUCAUGAUAACAACAGUAGUGCACACCAGUAAGUUAGUCUGAUGCUAGACUAGACGCCUCUUUAUGCAAGUUUAUUGUCAUGUAUAUUUAUAUGUAUAAAGUCGAAUCAAGUAGUAACAUGUGAAAAACACUUGCACUGGUGUAUGUAAGGAGUCAAGUACAUGUUUGUUACAGCAGGGUAGAGUAGAUGUUUGUGUUACCAUCCAGUCCACUGACAACAUGUUUCUGUUAUUGUGGUGCUUUCUUAACUCACUGCCAUCUACAUUCUGUUCUUUUUUUAUCAUCUGUCGAGAAACUAUUGUGAUGAUUUGAUGCCCAUCUGGUGACUAUUUAUGUCUUUAGUGUCAAUCGAUGUUGCAUAAUCUGAUUUGGACACCUAGGUUCUUGCAUGGUUCUUAGAUUAAUUGUUCUGUUUUGUUGUUAGCAAAUAUUGCUUAUAUUAAGACUAUAAACAUGUGACUAUUCCUCUCAUUUACAGGAGUUCUGGGCUGAAGACAUUCGAAGAAGCCCGAAGCCCCAGUCAACAACUUGCUUUAUAUAUUACUGAAUUUGUAAUGCUAAUAUUCUUGAGAAAUUUGAUGUACUGCUGAACAUGCUGGGAAUUUGAUGUAUAUUUGCUCGCUGAACUUGAUGUAUACUUGCUUGCUGAACUCAGAAUAUUACUUUUUAUUCACUUGAAA